GUUGUGGUUAAUUAGCAUUCCUGUGUGUUUAGCAGCACUCUUAAUGAUUGUCGUGAUCAUCAAGUGCAAGAAAAUUAAAGGAAAUGAAACCCAGCUGAGUGGCAACACUGGCCUGAACUUUAACCCUGCAGAGACUGAAUCUGGACCAGGAACCAAUCAGGACACGGUGAGAUCACACACU
Molecule: long non-coding RNA, 181 nt
Organism: Archocentrus centrarchus (flier cichlid)
Lineage: Eukaryota; Metazoa; Chordata; Actinopteri; Cichliformes; Cichlidae
Exons: 3
Source: RefSeq, a predicted model, not a curated record